AUGGCGGACGCUGACAGCAGCAGCAACCCACUGCUCGCCGACAUCGACUUCCCGCCCUUCGACCGCGUCGAGCCCGGACACGUCCGCCCCGGGAUCCCCGUUCCUCGUCCGCACAUCCGCGCGCUCCUCGCCCGCCUUAGGCAGACCAGCUUUCGCCUGGGCAUGCUGGAGAAGCUCAAGAGCUUCCGGGGGAUGGAUAACUUCAGGCGGAGCAAGGACAGCCCUGGCAAGCGCGGUGACACGCCGCUCCACCUCGCGGCGAGGGCCAGCAACGUCUCCAACGUCCAGAGGAUCCUUGCCGAAUCCGGCCAGGAGAUGGCCGAGCUGGAGGAGGGCGAGCUGGAGGAGCUUGAGAAGGGCGUGGAGCCUGCGUGGGAGCACUUGGUCCACCCGCUCGAGCGCAUCGUCGAUAGGCUGAACGUUAUUGAAGGAGUUCAUUCUGUGCAUCCGGAGGCGUACGAGUUCAAGAUCGGUGACCAGUUUUUUCGGAGGCCCGGAGACCCACCCCUGGACCAAGUUAUCGAGAUGCUA
This 531-nucleotide ribosomal RNA is filed under the name Triticum aestivum (bread wheat). Its description in RNAcentral is "partial small subunit ribosomal RNA". The record is from RNAcentral. Lineage: Eukaryota; Viridiplantae; Streptophyta; Magnoliopsida; Poales; Poaceae.